CAGUAGCCACGGGAAUACAGAGGGUGCGAGCGUUAAUCGGAUUUACUGGGUGUAAAGCGUGCGCAGGCGGUUUGUUAAGACAGAUGUGAAAUCCCCGGGCUCAACCUGGGAACUGCAUUUGUGACUGGCAAGCUAGAGUCUGGCAGAGGGGGGUGGAAUUCCGCGUGUAGCAGUGAAAUGCGUAGAUAUGCGGAGGAACACCGAUGGCGAAGGCAGCCCCCUGGGCCAACACUGACGCUCAUGCACGAAAGCGUGGGGAGCAAACAGGAUUAGAUACCCCCGUAGUCCCUGUCUCUUAUAC
Molecule: ribosomal RNA, 301 nt
Filed under: uncultured bacterium
Lineage: Bacteria
Description: partial 16S ribosomal RNA
Rfam family: Bacterial small subunit ribosomal RNA
Source: RNAcentral